CUAUUAUGGUGUCCGUACUAAAACUGACACAGGUAGGCGGGGAGAGGAUCCUAAGGCGCUCGAGAGAACCCUCGUUAAGGAACUCGGCAAAAUCACUCCGUAACUUCGGGAGAAGGAGUGCCCCGAAUUUAUUCGGGGCCGCAGUGAAAAGGUCUGGGCGACUGUUUACUAAAAACACAAGUCUCUGCUAAGAUUUAUAAUCAACGUAUAGAGACUGACGCGUGCUCGAUGCCAGAACGUUAAGGGGAUGGGUUAGUGUCCGAAAGGAUGCGAAGCUCAGAACCGAAGCGCUGGUGAAUGGCGGCUCUAACUAUGAGAGUCCUAAGGUAGCGAAGUUCCUUGUCGGAUAAUUACCGACGUGCAUGAAUCGCGUAACGACUUAGAUACUGUCUCAACGAGGGACUCGGCGAAAUUGUAGUCGUGGUGAAGAUGCCACGUACCCGCGGCAAGACGGAAAGACCCCGUGAACCUUUACUGUAGCCUAUUAUUGGGUUUUGUCACAGUAUGCGUAGGAUAGGUGGGAGACUAAGAAGUCCCAGCUCUGGCUGGGGCAGAGUCGACGUUGAAAUACCACUCUUACUAUGUUAAAAUUCUAACUAAAUUCCGUGAAUCCGGAUUUGGGACAGUGAUAGGUGGGCAGUUUGACUGGGGCGGUCUCCUCCUAAAGAGUAACGGAGGAGUCCAAAGGCUUCCUCAGUGCGCUUGGCAACCGCACGUAGAGUGUAAGGGCAGAAGGAAGCUUGACUGCGAGACCUAUAAGUCGAGCAGAUGUGAAAGCAGGGCCUAGUGAUCCGGUGGUUGUGUGUGGAAACGCCAUCGCUCAACAGAUAAAAGGUACUCCGGGGAUAACAGGCUGAUCGCCCCCGAGCGUCCAUAGCGGCGGGGCGGUUUGGCACCUCGAUGUCGGCUCAUCGCAUCCUGGGGCUGGAGAAGGUCCCAAGGGUUCUGGAGUUCACAGAUUAAAGCGGUACGCGAGCUGGGUUUAGACCGUCGUGAGACAGGUCGGUCCCUAUCUGCCGUGGGUGGACGAUAUUUGAGGAGAUCUGUCCUUAGUACGAGAGGACCGGGAUGGACGUACCUCUGGUGAACCAGUUGUCGUGCUAACGGCAUCGCUGGGUAGCUAUGUACGGAAAGGAUAAAUGCUGAAAGCAUAUAAGUAUGAAGCCUACUCCAAAACUAGAUAUCGUUUUCCUUUAUAGGAAGAGAGACACCUUGAAGAUUACGAGGUUGAUAGGCCAGAGGUGUAAGUAUAGUAAUAUACUAAGCUGACUGGUACUAAUUAGUCGAAAAGCUUGACUU
This 1299-nucleotide ribosomal RNA is filed under the name Planctomycetes bacterium RIFOXYB12_FULL_42_10. RNAcentral describes it as "bacterial LSU rRNA". It matches the Rfam family "Bacterial large subunit ribosomal RNA", at positions 1630 to 2925 of the family's 2925-position model. Lineage: Bacteria; Pseudomonadati; Planctomycetota. The record is from RNAcentral.